GUUAGUGUGCGUUAACGUGUGUGUUAUGCUCACAUGUACUCCAACAUUAUCGUUUUUGUUUUGCGCUUUCUUCACCGUUGUUUUGCAGAGAGUAUGUUUGCAGGGGGAGUUUACAGCAAGGGGGAGUGUAUGUGUUUUGUGAAGAAAGGCAAAAAGGGGGAGUUUGUUGGAGUUAUUUUUCUAACUCCAAAUUAAACUCACAAAUGCUUUGUUAUUGUUUUGCUCUUUCUUCACGUCUUUGGUUGAUAGGAAAUUGACCUAGUCAAGACUUGAGAUUUGAAGCUGUAAACGAAGGUAUUAAGGGGAAGAGUUUCAGUUGCUAAAAAGGAGGAAGUGGAGAUAAAGAGAGAGAAAAGAGAGGAGCUUGUUGGCAGCUCCUAAAAUCAAGGGAGAAGUGGACUAAAUCAAACAACUAUCAAACGGCCACUUCAUCCAUGAUCAAAGCCACGACUUCAAGCCUUGGGAAGCAAGAUUGAGAUGCCUAUAUAUACCAAGGAGAAGUCUCAGUUCAGAUUACGAAGUUUAAAGAUCAAAAUCGAGUCAUUUGAGUGAUCUGUGUACGAAUGCUGUUUAGAGUGUUAGGAUAACAUUGUUUAUAGCAUUCAUUGAUUUCGUCGGAUUUCGGAGUAUAGCUCUUGAAUCCAGUUUCUGUUUGUUAAUGAGAGUGUCUAGUGUUCAAAUACCUAGAGUCUUGUAAAGGUAUUGAACGUGAGUGUUCAUUCUCCAUUUAGUCAUUUUGCCAUAAGGCGUCUUCAAGUUAUAAUUUAUAACUUGAAGAAUUUUUCCAUCUCCUUGUGUCUCCCAUUUUUAUUUCCGCUGCAAUAUUUCUCUGUGUGCACUGGUGUGCUGCCUUACACAGUGUUUAACAUCAAAGUAUGAAGGAAGCAACACUUACAUUUGGCAUCAGAGCCAACACUCGAUACACUGAGUGUGAUCCUCGUUGUUGUUGCAACAGUCACCGCAACAGUUGCUUCCACAUGGAGCCUGGCAAUCUGGGUUUUAUGCGAUCACCAAUUCUUGAUAAUGAAGAGGACCCUAUUUCCAACAGGUAUGGUUCAAAUUAUUAUUCAAAUUUUAUGUGCUUUAAUGCAUGUGUAGGUGACACUGAAGAAAGCACCGAAGAGGCCAUACAUGUCGUCAUAGAGCUAAAAAAGCUUUACGAUAAGCUUCUUGGAAAGUGGAAAAAGCAAGGGCAGGAGCUUGAAAGUACAAGGGACGAGAACACCAAGCUAAAAGCAUCUUUGGCAAAGCUUGAAGCAUUGGUUACUCAAAAGGAAGUCAAGCUCGAGCAUAUCACCAACCAGCUGGACGAAGCUCAAGCUACCAUCGAUAAAUGGAAUUCGAGCCGACAUAGGUAUGAUGAUUUUGUGUCUGUAGGUAGCAUGGAGACUACUGGAUUAGGAUUCAAUGCUGUGCCCGCAGCCGCGCCCGCUGUUAACCCCACACCUGGGAAAACAAAAGUGAAAUCAACCCGUGGGAAGAAGUUUGUGGUUGAAGGAACUCCCAUAGAGCAUAAACAAAAACGGAGAAAAAGGUAUGUAUGCCAUUAUUGCUUUGAAAUUGGUCACAUACAACCGUUUUGUUUUAGGAAAUUCAACGACGAGAAGAGGAUCUUUGUUAACGCAAAGAAAUCUAAAGCUAAGAUGAAGAAAAAAACACAGAAGGUAAGGAGGAAUGUGAUGAGAUGGGUAAGGAAGGAUGAGAUGAAAUGUAAUGUUGUGUUUACUGCUUUUAAGACUAACAUUUCAAGCUCGUGGUACUUCGAUAGCGGAUGUUCCCGUCACAUGACAGGUGACAAUGCGCUCUUGAGUAAAUAUCAGGUAUGUGACGGAGGAUAUGUCUCUUUUGGUGGAGGAUCGAAAGGUAAGAUCAUCGGUAAAGGUAUUUUAAAUGUGCCUGGACUACCUACUCUCAAGAAUGUGUUUCAUGUUAAAGGGCUUAUGGCAAAUCUCAUUAGUAUAAGCCAAUUAUGCGAUGAUAAUUUGCAUGUUAAGUUCAACAAAGAUUCUUGUGAAGUGUAUGAUAGUCAAAAUUGUUGUAUUAUGAAGGGUCAAAGGUCAGUUGAUAAUUGUUAUUUAGCUGAUGAACCAAAAUGCAACAAGGCACAAGUAGACGAUAGCAUGUUGUGGCAUCAACGAUUAGGACAUACUAACUUAAAAUCUUGACAGGCUAUCGAAGAUGGAGGCAGUUCGUGGACUUCCCAUAUGACACAAAAGGGAAAAUUUGUGUGUGAGAGUUGCCAAAAAGAAUGCAGGUUCAUGCUACUCACAGUGUUGUCCAGCAUAUUGAGCAACAUUUCGGCACAACAAGGUGCUUCGAGCUGAUUUAUAUGGAUUUUGUAGGUCCUGUUGAGGUCGAAAGCAUUGGAGGGAAGCGGUAUGUCUGUGUUUUGGUUGAUGAUUUCUCAAGGUACUCUUGGACAUUCUUUUGCGUGAGAAAUCCGAAGCUUUUGAUGUUUUUAAGACCUUGUUUGCUCGUAUUGUUAAUUUGUUUGGUGUGAGUAUUUCAAGAAUCAGGUCUGAUCAUGGCCGUGAGUUUGAGAAUGCGUCAUUCUCAAAGUUUUGUGAAAAUAAGGGGGUCUUUCAAGAGUUUUCGGCUCCCAAGAGGCCACAACAAAAUGGAGUGGUUGAGCGAAAGAAUCGGACUCUGGUGGAAAUGGCAAGAGUGAUGUUAGCCUCGAAGAACUUGUCAAAACGUUUCUGGCAGAGGCUGUGAACACGGCAUGUCACAUUAACAAUCGGGUUAACAUUCGACCAGGUACGUUCAAAACUCCGUAUGAGAUAUUGCGAGGUAAGAAACCAAAUCUCAAAUACUUCCAUGUUUUUGGUUGUGUAUGUUACAUACUGAAUGACAGAGAAUACCUUACAAAAUUUGAUGAUAAAUGUGAUAAAGGUAUUUUUUUGGGGUAUUCUUUGAAUAGUCAAGCUUUUCGGGUUUUUAACUUGAGAAGCCAAACGAUUCAAGAAUCUGUCAAUGUGGUAUUUGAUGAUUUGAGUAGUGUUACAGAUGAGAAGGACAUGGAAUAUCAGGUGGUAGAAGCACUAGUCCCUUCGACAGAUGCAACAGAAGAUGCUGAGGCAACAGAAGCCACCACAUCAAGGAAUGCAACAGAAAAUGUUGAGACAACAGAAGCCACCACAUCACAGAUCCCUGAAGAUCAAAGUGACAACGAAAAAGAUAUNAGGUAUCACAAGCUAUCGUGCAAAGCUUUUUAAUAGUACCCUUUAGAGAUCAUCAAACUUCUAAUGAUCCAAUUAUUGGUUAGCGAACUUUGGAUAAUAAAUCAAGUUCCACAUUUAAAAUUUGAUUUUCAACGUCCUAUUUAUGUCAAAGCUAAAAUGUGUUUAAGGGCUUUAAAAGCUCAUUGAUUUCGUCAGAUUUCGGAGCCUAGCUCUUGAAUCUAGUUUUUGUUUCUUGUAAGAGUGUCGGGUUUUCAAAUCUUAGUCUUGUAAAGGUUUGAACGUGAGUGUUCAUUCUUUGUUUAGUCAUUUUGCCAUAAGGCGUCUUCAAGUUAUAAUUUAUAACUUGAAGAAUUUUUCCAUCUCUUUGUGUCUUCCAUUUUUAUUUCCGCUGCAAUAUUUC
RNAcentral lists this long non-coding RNA (3582 nucleotides) under Salvia miltiorrhiza (redroot sage). Its description in RNAcentral is "long non-coding RNA (SMIL_LNC002227)". The record is from RNAcentral. Lineage: Eukaryota; Viridiplantae; Streptophyta; Magnoliopsida; Lamiales; Lamiaceae.